AGAAUGAACGCUGGCGGCGUGCUUAACACAUGCAAGUCGAACGGAAUCCAAGGAGCUUGCUCUGGAAGAUUUAGUGGCGAACGGGUGAGUAUCACGUGAGCAACCUGCCCCGAAGACUGGGAUAACACCGGGAAACCGGUGCUAAUACCGGAUACCUUCCAAUGACCGCAUGGUCGAUGGAAGAAAUGUUUUUCGCUUCGGGAGGGGCUCGCGGUCCAUCAGCUUGUUGGCGGGGUAAUGGCCCACCAAGGCAGUGAUCGGUAUCCGGCCUGAGAGGGGCGCGACGGACGACGACUGGAACUGAAACACGGUCCAGACUCCUACGGGAGGCAGCAGUGGGGAAUUUUGCGCAAUGGGGGAAACCCUGACGCAGCAACGCCGCGUGGAGGAUGAAGUCCCUUGGGACGUAAACUCUUUCGAUCGGGACGAUAAUGACGGUACCGGAAGAAGAAGCCCGGCUAACUUCGUGCCAGCAGCCUC
RNAcentral lists this ribosomal RNA (480 nucleotides) under uncultured bacterium. RNAcentral describes it as "SSU rRNA". It matches the Rfam family "Bacterial small subunit ribosomal RNA", at positions 26 to 518 of the family's 1533-position model. The record is from RNAcentral.